This 441-nucleotide ribosomal RNA is filed under the name uncultured bacterium. RNAcentral's name for it is "partial 16S ribosomal RNA". It matches the Rfam family "Bacterial small subunit ribosomal RNA", at positions 338 to 795 of the family's 1533-position model. The record is from RNAcentral.
CCUACGGGUGGCAGCAGUGGGGAAUAUUGCACAAUGGGGGAAACCCUGAUGCAGCAACGCCGCGUGGGUGAGGAAGUAUUUCGGUAUGUAAAGCUCUAUCGGCAGGGAAUAGAAAGGCAGGUACCUGCAAAAGAAGCCCCGGCUAACUACGUUCCGGCAGCCGCGGUAAUACGUAGGGGGCAAGCGUUAUCCGGAUUUACUGGGUGGAAAGGGAGCGUAGACGGAAAGGCAAGUCAGAAGUGAAAACCCAAGGCUUAACCAUGGGACUGCUUUUGAAACUGUCAAACUAGAGUACGGGAGAGGUAAGAGGAAUUCUUAGUGUAGGGGUGAAAUGCGUAGAGAUCAGGAGGAAUACUAGUGGCGAAGGCGUCUUACUGGAACGAAACUGACGUUGAGGCUCGAAAGCGUGGGGAGCAAACAGGAUUAGAUACCCCUGUAGUC